GAGUUUCUGUGAUGCUAGAAUCUGGACUGCCUGCGACCUCUCCGGGACUCGGACACCAGCCCUCGCCUCCUGGUGAUCUUUUAGGUCCUGCAGAGAAGUGAAGAGAUCUCGCUCUGUCACCCAGGCUGGAGUGAAAUGGCACAAUCUUGGCUCACUGUAACCUCCGCCCCCAGGUUCGACUGAUUCUCGUGCCUCAGCCUCCUCAGUAGCUGGGAUUACAGGAUGGAGAGUAAAGGAGGUAAAGGAGGACUCUGAUGCCUCAGCCAUGCGCCUGUGUGCCGAUUCCCAUUAAGCCUGCACCAAUUUGAUUUCCAAGACUCCAGUCAAUCCUCAGAGCUCCAGGAGGGGAGGGGCAGCUUUUCCUGGUAGCUGCUGAUCACCAGCAGAGGGAGCCCUAGGACUGCAGGGCCUCUUUCCUUACCGUUGGUGAAGCCCUUCACUGUGGCUUCAAAACUGUGGAAGACCCGGGAUUUGUGGAUCACUUGCCUUUAGAAUAGAAUCAAGAAAUAAAGCUGCAGAAGAAAGAAUCUCCAUGUGAUGAGCCCCAGAGAGGCGAAGCCACUUGAGCUCGUGAGUGACAGUCAGAUGUCAAGCCCUGCUCUUUCUAAAGCGUGCUGCCUUCAGAAAAGAAGAGCCAGAAGGAUGGAAAUUACUUCAGAAAGAUGAAUACCAGCUUUGAAGGAAUAAAAGCUGAC
Molecule: long non-coding RNA, 695 nt
Filed under: Homo sapiens (human)
Lineage: Eukaryota; Metazoa; Chordata; Mammalia; Primates; Hominidae
Description: non-protein coding OSER1-DT:43
Source: RNAcentral